Long non-coding RNA from Medicago truncatula (barrel medic), 546 nucleotides. RefSeq lists it as uncharacterized. NCBI's taxonomy places the organism in Eukaryota, Viridiplantae, Streptophyta, Magnoliopsida, Fabales, Fabaceae. The transcript has 2 exons. The record is from RefSeq and is a predicted model, not a curated record.
CUUAAAAGAACAAAAAAGAACUCUUGAUAGUUUAGUAUCACCGUGGAUGUUCAAAAAGAUGGUGGAUGCGAUGGUCUUCCCACAGGGGUGGCGCGCGACAUUCAAGUUGUGGCUAGAACAACCAGAUCCAAAACCACCUUGUCCAAUCUUAUUAUUCAACGAGAAGUUGUUAGUGGCACUAGUAAUUGUUUGCAGAUCAAACAAAGGUAAAUCCAGAUCUUCUAGAUGUCUUUCAAUGUUAUCGUCUAUCUUUGACUUAUCUAAAAAAGGGAACAGAGGAAAUGUUAUUUGGUAUUAUUAUGAAACCUGAGGGGGGAUCAUUUGAGCCGAUUAAGUUAGAUACAUAUCGCAAUAGAACAUACUCCCUCACAACUUUUAAGGUGUAGUUAUUGCUUAGAAGACUUUUCUACCCCUUAUUUAAUGUUUGUCUUUUUAAUAUUAGUGGGUGUAUAUGCUUCAUAAAUUUUUAUGAGGGUAUAUUUGUAAAAAUAUUCAAAAAGUUACACUAAUUAAUGAGUGUAUUGGUUUUGUUGUUUUUUGGUUUUU